Non-coding RNA from Macaca mulatta (Rhesus monkey), 632 nucleotides. NCBI's taxonomy places the organism in Eukaryota, Metazoa, Chordata, Mammalia, Primates, Cercopithecidae. The record is from RefSeq and is a predicted model, not a curated record.
CCCCAAGAUCAACCCACACACCCGGCAGACCAGGAGGGACCAAGGCUCCUGGGAGGACCUCUCCCCAAGCUGCAGGAAAAUCUGGAAGCAGAGGAGAAACAGUAAAGAUUUUUGAGGAGACUAUAAUCAGGCUUGUAUCAUAAAUUCAUCAGACGUUUAUGGACCACCCAACGUCCCUGCACUCAUGGGGCUUGCAGUCUCUCUGGCUUAAUCAUUUUACUCUGGCAGCCAGUGUGAGGAGGGCACAGGAAGGAGACCAGGUGACAAAGCCAGCCUGACCAAAGAAGAUGUGGCAACUGAUGGGAUUGGAAGAGGCGGACAAUGUCAAGCUUUCCUCCAGACAGCUGGACUGGCUCUCUAUAUAUUUAUUUAUCUAUUCUACACCCCAGCCCCCACCUCCAGACUCACUAACUGGACUCAACUAGUGGGUGCAAAGGACGGAGUAGAUUUUAGUGAAAUGGAAUUUCUACGUCCAGCGGCCCCUGGAACAGAAGCACACAACCAUCUAAUAAUUGCUUGCAGGAUUGGAUUGUGUAAGUGUGGACAGAAUUUGGGAAUCUGGGCUACUCUGGGCACACUGCCUAUGGGGCAGCCCUGCUCCGCAAGGAAAAUAAACACAGUUUUUUAAAAAA